This 2346-nucleotide long non-coding RNA is filed under the name Anolis carolinensis (green anole). Its description in RNAcentral is "lncRNA (ENSACAG00000035462.1)". Lineage: Eukaryota; Metazoa; Chordata; Lepidosauria; Squamata; Anolidae. The record is from RNAcentral.
GAAGGGGCCUGGGAUUUGCAGGAAACUUCAGAGUAUCCUGGGAAUUUGUGGCAGUCUGGAGAGCUGGAUUUGGCCCAUUUGGUACUGAUGCCCUGUCCAGAUGGAUACCACUAGCACUGUCUUUUCCAUUAACUGAUCAGCACAAAGGAAAGGGAAUGGUUCAUCCUUGUGUUGUUGCUGCCAUCCCUCUCUGCUAUCCAGAGAUUGCUGUGAGCUCCUGGCUGUCAGAUUGAAUCUGCUGAUGUCAGAUCAGAAUCAAUUCUUCUGCUUUUUGCUCCAUGGAUGGUGGGAAGUGGGACUGCAACAUGGAAAAGGAGGUGACUGCCCAGUUUGAAUUGACUGAUGAUUUAAUGAUGACGAUGACAAAACAAUAUUAUAUAGUAAAAUGUCUAUAUUGGGAAUGUAACUUUUUGCAGAUUUGAACAUUUGUGGAUUUGAUAUGGCCUCUUUAAGAAUCUGUAGGUACUCCAGAAGAACUCUGUGGUAAACCUCUGGUGGAAAUUGGCCUGCAGAUGAUAUCACAACACCAUGAGUCAGGAGUGUUACUAAGGGGAUAAUGGGAUAGAAAUUCCCUCCCCAAAAUGAUUCUUCCCCUUUGGUACUUAAAAUCCUAGAAUUACAGUAAGUUAAGGUUUUGUUUGAAACAUUUAGAAUUUCAGCUUACUUUUUCAUCUAAAGAAAAGGAGCAAGCAAAGUUACUGAGGGGAUGUGAACACCACAAAUAUAAGAGUUCUGUGAAUGAUUUCCAAGCUUCCUGAAAUGCUAUCUCCUAAACCACUCUUCAUGAUAUUUUGGUACUAAAUUCGUAAAUACAGUAAUUACUACAUUGAACUACUUUUUCUGUAAAAUUUGUUGUAUAACAUGAUGUUUUGGUGCUUAAUUUGUAAAAUCAUAACCUAAUUUGAUGUUUAAUAGGCUUUUCCUUAAUCCCUCCUUAUUAUCCAACAUAAAUGGGCCAGCAGAAUGUUGGAUAAGCAAAAUGUUGGAUUAUAAGGAGGGAUUAAGAAAAAACCUAUUAAACUUCAAAUUACAUUAUGAUUUUACAAAUUAAGCACCAAAACAUCAUGUUUUACUACAAAUGGUCAGAAAAUGCAGUUCAAUACAUGGUAACAUUAUGUAGUGAUUAAUGCAUUUAUGAAUUUAGCACCAAAACAUCGCAAUAUAUUGAAAACAUUGACUACAAAAACAUUGAUUACUAAAAGGCAGAUUGUGUUGGAUAAUACAGAACGUUGGAUGAGUGAAGGUUGGAUAAGUGAGACUCUACUGCACUAACAAAUAAAUCCACAAAGGAUCAGUUUUUUCAAAAUCUGGGAAUGAAAUUAUGUAUGCAAAUGCCAAUGAUGAAAGAUUUCCUGCACUUCAUUCCCUGGCUCCCCUGUCUUUACUUUAGUGACAACCUGCUUCCAAGCUGAAGGAAACAGACCAAUAGUUGUAUGGUGACAAUUUUCUAGUGAAAUUGCAAAAUAAUGCUGGAUUCAAUUUGUGCAAAUUGCCACACACUUUAGUAGCUGUUGAGCUGUUGAAACAAUAUUUACAGUUUUAUUUAUUGUAAUUUAAGAACUGUGAGGAAUGUUUGCCAGUAUUACACCCCCCCCCCCAAAAAAAACACAAAAAAUUCAAAGAUGCAAUUGAUACCUAGCUUUACAAUGUACAUAAGUCUCUAGAGAGAUUUUUCGAAUCUGUUUUAAAUUACGGACUUGGGAAAAAACAAAUAAAAAAGAAUAAAAGGUAGUUGUUGAAAGUUAAAUUGUCUUCAACUCAUAUCUGUAAACCAGAUUCUCAUUUUUAUUUAACUGUUGCCUUUUCAUUCAGAAACUCAUUUCUUUACCAAAUCUGUUUUGCUUUCUCUCUCCCUUUCAAUCUUUCUUUAAAUAAAAGAGACAUUUUGUUUCUCCAUCCUCCCCUCCCAUUGUUGCAGCUGCUUCUCCUGAUGGUGUUCUCCUCCUGCUUGCCAGGGAAAUGUUUCCCAUCUAUUUGCAUUGCAUUUUAUUGAUAUUAUCCUUCUCUUCAUCCAUCCAUGAACUUUGAAAAUCUUAACAAAGAACCUAACAGGAAUUGCCCACAUCAAUGUAUGUAUAUUAUCCCAUCAUUUAAAUUUCUAGAAAUACAAACUAAUUUAAUAUCCGUUUCUUCUUUCACUCUCUGCUAGGAGAAAAAGAAAUAUGAGAGUUGUGAGCAAAAUUCAUUAUUUAUAAGCAGCCAGGCUUUGAAGCUGCAAGGCUAUUCAAUGCUUAUCAAGGUGGCUAAUUAAAAACAUUCACACUUGCUUCAAACAAACAAGAGUUCUUUCUCCCACCCUAGACAUCAUUCCACAGAUAUAUAAACCCCACUUGCCUAGUUUCUAAC